RNAcentral lists this transfer RNA (63 nucleotides) under Mixta calida. It matches the Rfam family "tRNA", at positions 6 to 65 of the family's 71-position model. Rfam says of the family: Transfer RNA (tRNA) molecules are approximately 80 nucleotides in length. Their secondary structure includes four short double-helical elements and three loops (D, anti-codon, and T loops). Further hydrogen bonds mediate the characteristic L-shaped molecular structure. tRNAs have two regions of fundamental functional importance: the anti-codon, which is responsible for specific mRNA codon recognition, and the 3' end, to which the tRNAs corresponding amino acid is attached (by aminoacyl-tRNA synthetases). tRNAs cope with the degeneracy of the genetic code in two manners: having more than one tRNA (with a specific anti-codon) for a particular amino acid; and 'wobble' base-pairing, i.e. permitting non-standard base-pairing at the 3rd anti-codon position. The record is from RNAcentral. RNAcentral also lists the same sequence under 1 other name. Lineage: Bacteria; Pseudomonadati; Pseudomonadota; Gammaproteobacteria; Enterobacterales; Erwiniaceae.
CUUAGCUCAGCUGGAUAGAGCACCGGCCUUCUAAGCCGUAGGUCACAGGUUCGAAUCCUGUAG